GGGCUACUGGUCGGCCUGCCCAGAGUACAGCCGGGCCAUUGACAAGCGCUGGGGUAAAGCUCUCAGCGGCCGCCGGCCCACCCAACGCCCAGCGGACCGGCGGCUGGUACCACCAAUUUUAAAGGGCAAGGCCUUUGAUUUGUGUGCAGAUCUGUUGCUGGCUGGAGCUCAGCUCAGCCACUUAAGCCAAAGAACAUCAUUCAGAUUCCAGCUUCAGCUUCUGUGAGUGGGGCAAGAUCUUCAGGAUGUUUGUAUGUCUUCCAGCACAAUAAAUAACAUCUAAGGAGUGACUAGGUGGGGUCAUCAUGAAUGUUUUCCAAGACCACCCACCCAUCAAGACCCUUGGGUCCAGGGCAUAUGUGACUUAUGGAGAGGACCUAAACCCUCGUCUGUGUUCCUGGAUGCUUGAGAAGAUACUGUGCACUGGACCACAAUCCUCAGUAAAACCCCAGGCCCCAAGUAGAGAUAAAAUUCAUUCUUCUUUCCUUUCUGAGGUUCUCAGAUGCUCUGUCUCUACACUCUCUCUCUAUCUUUAAUAAAAUCUGCUUUCACUUCCUUUCAGCUUAUGUUGAUUUUUAUUCUGCUUGAGAAGUCAAGGAUGUUCUUGGCUGGUCCUGCAGGAGCCCUCUGGGUCCUCAGACCCAGC
Ailuropoda melanoleuca (giant panda) is the source of this 646-nucleotide long non-coding RNA. RefSeq lists it as uncharacterized. NCBI's taxonomy places the organism in Eukaryota, Metazoa, Chordata, Mammalia, Carnivora, Ursidae. The transcript has 3 exons. The record is from RefSeq and is a predicted model, not a curated record.